Molecule: long non-coding RNA, 780 nt
Organism: Apis cerana (Asiatic honeybee)
Lineage: Eukaryota; Metazoa; Arthropoda; Insecta; Hymenoptera; Apidae
Source: RefSeq, a predicted model, not a curated record
GAAUGACAGUCUUCGCUAAAUUGACAGUCUUCCGGUUGCAUGCUAUCAGGCGAUUAUCGGGUUAGAACUGAGAACGAAAUGGACGUUUUAAGCAAGAUGUCAGCUAUUUGAAUUGUUCUCGAGAUUGUGCAAGGGAAAGUCUUAAUUUACUCGUGAUCUUGCAUACUGAGAAAGGAAAGAAAUAGAAAUUAUCACAAUUUCUUUUAAGUGAAAAAAAUAUUUUAAAAUAGAAUAUUUUAAAGGAGGACAAAGGACUGGGCCAGGCGGAUACCCGGCCCAAUGGUACACGAUAUCCGCAUAUCAGUUCGAACACGUGUGCACCCUGUGAGAUACGGUAUCCAUUGUCUAUUAGCAACACGUGCACUUCCGGAACUGAGAUUAGCGUGAGCCAGAAGAACAUGUGGCUGAAUUCACCAGACCGAGCUAUUAUUGUCCCAGGACACGUACACGAAUGACAGAACUGAAAUUAGCGUCAUCAAAGCGCCCAUAUUGGGUGCACAGUGAACUCGUCCAUUAUGCGGAUUGGUUCGCUAAAUAAAUGUUUCAUCAGAAUUAUUAGGAAUCUUCUAUUGUUGAUUCGCCAAUAUACAUCGACCUUAAUAAAUGGUACGUGUAUUUAUAUUCGAAUUUAUUGAUACGGGAAACAAAGCAACAACGUGUGCGCAACAAUAUUGUGAAAUUAAUAUUAUAGAUAUACCGUAACGAUUCGUUAGAGAAUUAUACGUGAUAAAUUAAACUAAACAGUCACUAAAUUUUAAAUAAAUUCAUCUUUCUAUGUUA